CGGAGUCCUGCUUGGGGAGACUAGAGCACUCACCCUGGGCCUGCUGGAGAGUCCCCGGAGAGAGGGUCGCCGCCCGCCGGCUCCGGGGCACUCGGGUGAGCGCUCGCAGAGGCCGUUGACCGAGCGCACCGAGGCGCCCGGGCAAAGAAGCGGCGGAGCGGCCGCGACGGGCCGGGACAGACGCGAGAACGGCCAGGACUGACCCCUUCCAGGAGCCGUAGCGGAAGUAGGUUUCUGGUCAUGUGACAAGAGAAGGGCGGAUGUUGCAUGCAGGCUCCUGAGCCAUUAUUGUCGUGGGCAAAGUACUCCCGUCUCAGAAAAGAAAAGUGUUCAAGGGCUCUGCUUCUCCUAUGACACUGGCUUGAGAAAGGGCUAGAGAAGAUGAUGAGUGGUUAAAAGCACUGACUGACUGCUCUUCCAGAGAUCCUGAGUUCAAUUCCCAGUAACCACAUGGUGGCUCACAACCACCUGUAAUGGGAUCUGAUGCUCUCUUCUGGAUCUCAUGGCUGGCUUCCAUUUUGUGUGCUCAAUGGUGACUGACACUCACGGCUGCUCAUCUCACCUCCAUCUCCCAGGUGCUGGAACUACAAGUGUGAGAGAAGAUGCUACUCAACUGCCUCCAAAGGGACAGUUUCUGAAGCAACAACUACAUAUCUUGGAUCCUUAAAUCCUUGAAUAUCUGAUAGAAAAAUAUCUUUUCCCUUUACAAAAACAUGCACCCAAGGACUUUACAUACAACUUAGGUUAGUGGGUCACUCGGGAUGCUACAGAUUUCUCCAGGAAGGGCCACGAAAUCCCUCACUUAAAAGCUCUGCUUCUGGGGCUGGAGAGAUGGCUUGGCAGUUCAUAGGCUCUUGUAGGGAUCCAGAAUUCAAUCCCCAGAAACCACAUGCUGGCUCACAGCCAUCCAUAGUGAGAUCUGUUAUGCAGGUGUAGAUGCAGGCAGAAUACUGUGCACAUAAUAAAUAAAUAAAUAAAUCUUAAAAG
RNAcentral lists this long non-coding RNA (987 nucleotides) under Mus spretus (western wild mouse). RNAcentral describes it as "lncRNA (ENSMSPG00010020800.1)". The record is from RNAcentral. Lineage: Eukaryota; Metazoa; Chordata; Mammalia; Rodentia; Muridae.